UACGGGGGAGCAAGCGUUGUUCGGAUUUACUGGGCGUAAAGGGCGCGUAGGCGGUCGUGACAAGUCACUUGUGAAAUCUCCGGGCUUAACUCGGAACGGUCAAGUGAUACUGUCGGACUAGAGUACAGAAGGGGCAACUGGAAUUCUCGGUGUAGCGGUGAAAUGCGUAGAUAUCGAGAGGAACACCUGCGGCGAAGGCGGGUUGCUGGGCUGAUACUGGCGCUGAGGCGCGAAAGCCAGGGGAGCGAACGGG
Molecule: ribosomal RNA, 253 nt
Filed under: uncultured bacterium
Lineage: Bacteria
Description: partial 16S ribosomal RNA
Rfam family: Bacterial small subunit ribosomal RNA
Source: RNAcentral